RNAcentral lists this ribosomal RNA (435 nucleotides) under uncultured bacterium. Its description in RNAcentral is "bacterial SSU rRNA". It matches the Rfam family "Bacterial small subunit ribosomal RNA", at positions 354 to 796 of the family's 1533-position model. The record is from RNAcentral.
GUGGGGAAUUUUGCGCAAUGGGCGAAAGCCUGACGCAGCAACGCCGCGUGGAGGAUGAAGGCCUUCGGGUCGUAAACUCCUGUCGAUGGGGACGAAAGCCGAAAGGAUUGACUGUACCCGUUGAGGAAGCCACGGCUAACUCCGUGCCAGCAGCCGCGGUAAUACGGAGGUGGCAAGCGUUGUUCGGAAUUACUGGGCGUAAAGGGCGCGUAGGCGGCAUAGCAAGUCAGAUGUGAAAGCCCCGGGCUCAACUCGGGAAUAGCAUCUGAAACUGUUUUGCUUGAGUUCUGGAGGGGGUAGUGGAAUUCCCAGUGUAGCGGUGAAAUGCGUAGAUAUUGGGAGGAACACCUGCGGCGAAGGCGGCUACCUGGACAGUGACUGACGCUGAGGCGCGAAAGCUAGGGGAGCGAACGGGAUUAGAAACCCUAGUAGUCC